AAUCAACGCUGGGCGGCGUGCCUAACACAUGCAAGUCGAACGAGAAAGUGGAGCAAUCCAUGAGUAAAGUGGCGCACGGGUGAGUAACACGUGACUAACCUACCCUUGAGUGGGGGAUAACCUAGGGAAACCUGGGCUAAUACCGCAUAAUACCUACGGGUCAAAGGAGCAAAUUCGCUUUAGGAGGGGGUCGCGGCAGACUAGUUAGUUGGCGGGGUAAUGGCCCACCAAGACGAUGAUCNGUAUCCGGCCUGAGAGGGCGCACGGACACACUGAACUGAAACACGGUCCAGACUCCUACGGGAGGCAGCAGUGGGGAAUUUUGCGCAAUGGGGGAAACCCUGACGCAGCAACGCCGCGUGGAGGAUGAAGACCCUUGGGUCGUAAACUCCUUUCGAUCGGGACGAUAAUGAGGUACCGGAAGAAGAAGCCCCGGCUAACUUCGUGCCAGCCGCCGCCGUAAC
This 464-nucleotide ribosomal RNA is filed under the name uncultured bacterium. RNAcentral's name for it is "bacterial SSU rRNA". It matches the Rfam family "Bacterial small subunit ribosomal RNA", at positions 32 to 524 of the family's 1533-position model. The record is from RNAcentral.